RNAcentral lists this transfer RNA (69 nucleotides) under Rhagophthalmus giganteus. RNAcentral describes it as "tRNA-Val". Lineage: Eukaryota; Metazoa; Arthropoda; Insecta; Coleoptera; Rhagophthalmidae. The record is from RNAcentral.
CAAAUUAGAUCUUGAGGAAAGUUUUUUAUUUACAUUAAAAAUAUCGUUGUGCAAUUCAAUGUGAUUUGA